RNA transcript from Triticum urartu, 1825 nucleotides. RefSeq lists it as uncharacterized. The record is from RefSeq and is a predicted model, not a curated record. Lineage: Eukaryota; Viridiplantae; Streptophyta; Magnoliopsida; Poales; Poaceae.
CCCUCACUUUCUGGCCGAUGUGGCGAUGGUGGUGCCUACUAUUUCUCCUCUGCGUCUUCCGGCCGCUACGCCGGCGCCUACGCGGCAUUUUUAGCGAUGGCGCUCUCCCUUGCGGUGAUGAUUCGACGACGGCGUACGAGAGAGGAAAUUUUGCUUCAGAGAAGUAGUACGAGAGGAGAAGUUGUGUUUUAGAGAGAAGGCAUAUGCGCCUACCAAACUCGAUGGUCGGCAAAGCGGCUACGCAAGAUAGCCAAUGCCAUCAAAGGGAAGAAGAGGGGUGCAAUAAGCAAGUCCACUUUCGGUGAUUUGCUUCACAUAUCUCCUCUGGUUCCUCCUCCGGAAGCGCUUCUAGAUUUCAUAGUUAUGAGGAUUGACACUAAGAAGCGUCUGCUCAAGUUAAAUGAUCGCAAGAAGAUCCCCUUCACAAGACAUAUGGUUAAGAAGAUAUUCAAUGUCCCAUCUGGUAGCAAAUCGCUAGAAUUCGGCAAGAGGGGGAAAGCAAAUUUCCGCGACGUUCAUUUGGAUGGUGAAAGGGCUACAAUAGCCACCACAGUAGCUGUUAUAUUAAAAGCGGAUGAUGACGAUGAGGAGACCAUUAGUAGGUCAUGGGACAGGAAACAUGGUGCCUCUAGACUAUCUCCACACCUUACGAGACAUGAGUGUCGUCCAUGAGUUCGACUGGGACGAGCAUAUUUUGUCUGAUGUGAUGAGAGAAGUUAAAAAAAUAUCAGAAUAAAAAUAAUGACGGUAAAGUGAAAUUCCUGAUUGGCGGUUGUCUACCAAUGCUUCCGGUUAUUUACAUGGACCACCUCGACAUCCCAAGAUGAUGCAUUGUUGAUCAUCCCAUCGACUACUCGUUGCCAUGAGCUUGUUUUCUUCAAGACAUGGACUUCACUGUUGUUGUUGCAGUCGACAUCCUAGACGAUGGCUUCGGAAAGCGCCCUUUCAGCUUCGGUACACCUUACGCAACAUCAAAGUUUAUGUCAUAUAUGUAGAUCAACUUGCCCAAAGAUCAAUCCAAGGCAAUGUCCAGAGGAGCCGCCGAAAAUAAAUGACCAAGGUGGAGCUGUUGCGGCCGCAACACCCACUCUGGAUGUGCCUGAGAGCUCCCACACACAAGCCAAUCCACAAGGGGGAGCCAAUGUGGGCUCUCGAGAACCAUCUAAGGGUGGCAUGGAGGGUACCGAUGGCAUAGCAGAGAAUGUGCACGAGGCACCUCCGGAUAAGAUGGCGGAUGGUGAUGAUGUGUACAGCUCUCUGGAGGAGUGGCUCCAUGCAUUGCCUACAUUUGAGGAGUUAGAGCUGCCCCCACAUCUUCGUGUCAUAUACAACAAGCACAAAGAGCUGCAUGCUGCAUAACUCUAAAUUGUUUCCGCAGCUGUCUAAGCAACCAGAUGGCAUUCAUGGGACUACAACAACCGCUACAACCAGUGCCAGUGAAGUGUCUCCGCAGUAGCCCAAGCAACCCAAUGGCGCAAAGAGUGGGGAUGCAGCUGUGGAAGUUGGUCACAAUAUGAUCUACGCUGGAUGAUCUUGGUUCAUGUUCAUAUGGAGAAAAGCUUCAACACAUAUUGGUUCUUUCGCAAUAUGCGAACAGCCUGGGAUCUGGCAAGGCCGACCAAGAUCAAAACCCUCGAGGAAAGCUUGUUCCACAUGCAGUUUAACUACUUGGGUGAUUGAGCGAAGGUUACCCAAGGUGGCUCAUGGCACUUUAGGGGGAACCCGAUGAUCAUCGCUCUGUAUGAUGGAUACACCAAACCAUCGUCCAUUGAGCUCUACACUUUUUGAAAUUUGAGCAAGAAUAAUCGAUCUCCCAAUUGCGUAU